This 76-nucleotide transfer RNA is filed under the name Bacteroidia bacterium. RNAcentral describes it as "tRNA-Val". It matches the Rfam family "tRNA". From Rfam's summary of the family: Transfer RNA (tRNA) molecules are approximately 80 nucleotides in length. Their secondary structure includes four short double-helical elements and three loops (D, anti-codon, and T loops). Lineage: Bacteria; Pseudomonadati; Bacteroidota; Bacteroidia. The record is from RNAcentral.
GGGAGUUUAGCUCAGCUGGUUUAGAGCAUCUGCCUUACAAGCAGAGGGUCGGGGGUUCGAAUCCCUCAACUCCCAC